UACGUAGGGGGCAAGCGUUAUCCGGAUUUACUGGGUGUAAAGGGAGCGUAGGCGGCUUUGCAAGUCAGGUGUGAAAGCCCGGGGCUCAACUCCGGGACUGCACUUGAAACUGCGAAGCUCGAGUACGGGAGAGGCAGGCGGAAUUCCUGGUGUAGCGGUGAAAUGCGUAGGUAUCAGGAAGAACACCGGUGGCGAAGGCGGCCUGCUGGACCGAGACUGACGCUGAGGCACGAAAGUGUGGGGAUCAAAC
This 250-nucleotide ribosomal RNA is filed under the name uncultured prokaryote. RNAcentral's name for it is "partial 16S ribosomal RNA". It matches the Rfam family "Bacterial small subunit ribosomal RNA", at positions 524 to 773 of the family's 1533-position model. The record is from RNAcentral.